AGAGUUUGAUCAUGGCUCAGAACGAACGCUGGCGGCAUGCCUAACACAUGCAAGUCGAACGAGACCUUCGGGUCUAGUGGCGCACGGGUGCGUAACGCGUGGGAAUCUGCCCUUUGCUUCGGAAUAACAGUUAGAAAUGACUGCUAAUACCGGAUGAUGUCUUCGGACCAAAGAUUUAUCGGCAAAGGAUGAGCCCGCGUAGGAUUAGGUAGUUGGUGGGGUAAAGGCCUACCAAGCCGACGAUCCUUAGCUGGUCUGAGAGGAUGAUCAGCCACACUGGGACUGAGAUACGGCCCAGACUCCUACGGGAGGCAGCAGUGGGGAAUAUUGGACAAUGGGGGCAACCCUGAUCCAGCAAUGCCGCGUGAGUGAUGAAGGCCUUAGGGUUGUAAAGCUCUUUUGCCAGGGAAGAUGAUGACUGUACCUGGAGAAUAAGCCCCGGCUAACUUCGUG
Molecule: ribosomal RNA, 453 nt
Filed under: uncultured bacterium
Lineage: Bacteria
Description: bacterial SSU rRNA
Rfam family: Bacterial small subunit ribosomal RNA
Source: RNAcentral